Molecule: RNA transcript, 5533 nt
Organism: Acinonyx jubatus (cheetah)
Lineage: Eukaryota; Metazoa; Chordata; Mammalia; Carnivora; Felidae
Gene: IL20RB
Gene name: interleukin 20 receptor subunit beta
Exons: 8
Source: RefSeq, a predicted model, not a curated record
GACAUUUUUCAACGAUCAAUUCAGUGACGCUUCUGCACUCCCCCUUGAUUUCUCCAUCCUUCAUCAUUUCCAGGACCAUAGUUUGUUCCAGGGCUAUUUCUGUGACCUAUUUUUUCUCCCUGUUUCUUUUUUCUUGUGCUGGUUCUUAUAUGUGAGUCUUCUCCAGGAGCACAUCCACAUGUCUCCUUAAUCUACAUACUCUCCUUGAAUGUUCUCACCCACUUCCUGGUCUCAGCUACCACUGGAAUGCUGAAGGUAGGGGAAAUGGUGCCAUACCCUUGACACCGACUUGAGACAAAGAUCAUUAACAUACUUAGACUGCAGCUGCCCCAUAAGCAUCUCAAGUUGCAGUGUAUCAAGCUUAACACAUGCAACCUUUUACUGUACCACCCUCAACCCUGCCUGGCUUUAAACCACCUCUCCCUCCUCCUUUCCAUUAUUUCAAUUGAGGUGCUGUCAUCCACCCAGUUACUCAAACCUAGAACUUGAAAGUCAUGUUCUCCCUCUCCACCCUCCUAAUCCAUUCUAAAUCUAAGAGCUGUCAAUUCUACCUCCUUCAUCUUUUGAAUUUAGUCACUUCUGUCUACAGACCUAGGAAAACCUAAUGGAAGCCAACAACAUCUCUCAUCUCACUGACCAACAUAGUUUACUCCUUGUCCUCUUGCCUCCAGUUUGGCCCCUUCUACUGUUUGUUUUCUCCACUCCAGUCAUAAACUUUUUAAAGCUCAAAUGCAGGGAAUAACAUGCUCAGAUUUGAGCUUUUAAUCCCUCCUUUGACCUUCAUUGCUCUCAAAAUGAACUCUAACCUUUCAACAAGGCAUUCAAAGCUGUCUGGAAUCCUGGUUCUGUCUGCCUUUGAGCCCCAUUACCCAGCCUUGCUGCUCUCUAUUUGAAUGAAACUUCUUGUAGUUCCCUAAGCACACCAUGCCUCACUAAUUUUUUUCAGCAUUUAUUACUCGGCUUAAAAGUCACUUCCUUCAGGAUGACUUCUCUAAUCCCCCAGGCUAGGUUAGAUAUUUUACCUUAAUGCUCCUAUAUAUCUGUCACUUCAUCUUCAAUAUUGAUUUAUUGUUUGUUCCAUACGUAUCUUCCUCACUAGUUUGUAAGUUUUUGGUUUAGGGCAGGAACUAUUGAAUUCCCAGAUCUAGUAUACAGUAGGCCCUUAGUGAGUGUUUGUUGAAAGAAUAAGUGAUUAACUUUCUUAAGGUUAUAUUGCAAAUAAGUUCUGAAACUGGAAACAAAAUCUGCGGUACUCUAAAACCCAUGUUCUCCCACUAAUGUAUACAUCACACAGUAUAAAAAGAUACAGCACCCAGAAGAAUUGAAAGCAGGGUCUCAAAGAGAUGUUUCUAUACCCAUAUUCAUAACAGUGUAUUCAAUAGCUAAAAGGUGGAAGCAACGCAAAUGUCCACUGAUGGGUGAAUGAAUACAUAAGCAAACUGUGGUAUAUACAUACAAUGGAAUAUGAUUUAGCCUUAAAAAAGAAGGAAAUUCUGCAAUUUUCUACAAUAUGGGUGAACCUAGAUGACAUUAUGCUAAGUGAAGUAAGUCAGUUACAGAAAGACAAGUCAUUGCAUGAUUCUAUUUAUAUGAGAUACUUAGUGUAGUCAAAAUCAUAAAGGCAGAAAGUAUAGUGGUGGUGGCCAGGGGCUAAGGGGAAGGAAGAUACAGAGUUUCAGUUUUACAAGAUGAAAAGAUUUAUGGGGACAAAUGGUGGUGAUGGUUGCACAAUUUGAAUUAAUAUCACUGAACUGUACAUUUAAAAAUGAUCAAGAAGGUAAAUUUUAUGUUAUGUGUAUUUUACCACAAUAAAAAAUUUCCAAGGAAAGCCCCCAAACACACAAAAUAUAUUGCAAGGAGUCAGUCCCAUUUUUCUCCUACAUCUUCCCGAUUCCCUCUUUCUCUGCCCCAAGGUAACCAAUCUUAUUAGUUUCUGUAUCUCCUUCCAGGUUUUCUUUUUGCCAAUAGAAGCAAAUAUAAAGCUAUAUUCUUUACCUUCUGACCUUUUAAAAAUUUUAUAUUAGAAAAAAUUUUAACUACUUUUUCUGAAGUAUGUAGCACAAGGAGCUAAUAAGUACUCAGCUUGAAUGAACUCACAAGAUGGAGACUUGGAAGAGGAUAGCUAUUUGAUGAGAGGGUAAAAUAAUCUUGCUGGCUCACCACCAGUGGGGCCUCUAUGGAAGCUCCUCAGAGUUAUCUUUUCUCUGGAGCUCUCCUAGACCACUCCCUCUGAUGCAAUAUAUGGGUUUGGACAGAAAGGAGGGUGCUGCACAGCCCGCCCCUUCUGAGCUGUCUGGGCUGGCUCCUCCUAGAACAAUUCAGGCUUCACAGCAAUUCAGACCUCAGCUCCAACAUCUACAUUCUGAAGCAAGGAUGGCUGAGAUGGACAGAAUGCUUCAUUCUGGAAAGAAAUGGUGUUCCAGGUCGAGCUGAGUUGGCCAAAUACAGACCCCCUCUACGGUUCUAGAAGAAAUUUUGGCAAGUCUUAUCAUGUGGUUUUUCUACACCUUGAUUCCAUGUUUGCUCAUUGAUGGAGUGGCCAUCCUGCCUGCCCCUCAGAACCUCUCUGUACAAUCAACCAACAUGAAGCAUCUCUUGACGUGGAGCCCAGUGAUGGUGCCUGGAGAAAUAAUAUACUAUUUCGUUGAGUACCAGGGAGAGUAUGAGAGCCUGUACAUGAGCCACGUCUGGAUCCCCAGCAGCUGGUGCUCACCCACCAAAGGUCCUGAGUGUGACAUCACUGAUGACAUCACUGCCACUGUGCCGUACAAUCUCCGUGUCAGGGCCACCCAGGGUUCAGAGACCUCAGCCUGGAGCACUCUGAAGCCUCCCUUCAAUCGAAAUUCAACCAUUCUUACCCCACCUGGGAUGGAUGUCACCAAGGACGGCUUCCAUCUGGUUAUUAAGCUGGAAGACCUGGGGUCCCAGUUUGAGUUCCUUGUGGCUUACUGGAGGAGGGAGCCUGGUGCCAAGGAACAUGUCAAAGUGGUGAGGAGCAGGGGCAUUCCGGUGCACCUGGAAACCAUGGAACCGGGGGCUGCAUACUGUGUGAAGGUCCAGACAUUCGUGAAGGCCAUCGGGAGACACAGCCCUUUCAGCCAGGCAGAAUGUGUCAAGGUGCAAGGAGAGACCCUCCCCCUGGCGCUGGCCCUGUUUGGGUUUGUUGGCUUUAUGCUGAUCCUCGUGGUUGUGCCCCUUUCCAUCUGGAAAAUGGGCCGGCUGCUCCGGCACUCCUGUUGCCCCGUGGUGGUGCUUCCCGACACCUUGAUUCUGGAGUUGUAUGUCACCACCACCCUCUCUCCUACCACAGCCUUGACUUUAGUACAGCCUAGCUGUACUUCAACAUUUGCCUUAGUGAUAAUCUUCUAAAGUACUAAAAAGCAACUUCCAGCCAUCUUUGCAAAACCCACACAUCUUUCUAAUCAAACUUUGGAAAAUUACCAAGUGGAAAUCCUUGACAGUUCUUCAAAAAGCCCUAUGGAGUUUAAAAUAACCAAUUCACCCCAGAAGUUAAUCAGCUGCAGGAGGGAAGAGGUGGAAGCCUGUGCCACUGCUAUGCUGUCUUCGGAGGAGCCCUUCAGGACCUGGAUCUAGGCAGGCUUUGGAAGGGCCCAGUUGAAACUGAGAAGCUGGUUGGCAUGGCACAGAAAUAAGGAAGGGAAAGGCUGUGGAUCAGUUUUCCUCCAUGGACAAAGGACAAGAAAAGCAAGAAGAGCCUGCUGGGUCCAUGUCUAGAAGCGACUGUCAGAAGCAGAGUGGUUUGGCAGACAGAGCACUGAGUUGGGGUGAGAAGACGUAGCCUCUUAGAACUGGAUCUGUCUGCCAUUCACUGACCGAAUGACCUGGAGAAAGUGACUUGAAAUGGGGGAAUUCACUAUACAACCGUUAAACCACUAUAUAUAUAUGUAUAUGUAUAUCCAGCACUUGCAGAGCUUUGGGAAACUGGCAACACUGUACAUUGUGAUUGUUUCACCUUCUCUGCAGAAUAUAACAAGAGUGUAACAAGAAUGAUAAAAACUCUUCACACCGGCUGGCUUGGAGAUCCCACUUUCCUAGAGGAAACCUUGAAGAGGAAAGGAAGGAUGGGCACAACAGUGUUGACUUCGCUUCCAGCCAAAUGCCUGUGCGGAGGUGAAUGGCUCAGCCAGCUCUACAAUACAUGACCUAGAGGGAGGCCCCAGGCCCAUGGAAAAUGGGAUGCUGUGGAUUCAUGAGAUACUGUAAAGAGUAAAUAAUGUGUGCAUACUAAAGGCAGGUAAAAUGUACAUGUAUGAGGAGAGGAGAAUGCAGGAGGAUGUCAAUAAUGUGUGAUGUUUGCUGUGUUCCCUUUACCUGUAGAGUUGUUAAAGUAUAGAAUUAAAAAUAAAAAAGGGUUACCUUCGUAAUCUUUUUGGCUUCUUACAAAAAAGUGGUCUUUGGGGUUCUAGUUACAUUAUCGACCUUGUGUCCAGAGAGGCUCCUGAAGACCACCGUUGGUCAGGAGUUGUGGGGGUGACCUCAGGUAGGGGAUGGGACAGGGAAGGAGAGCAGGCAGCUUCUGGCUUCAUGAGAACCCUGACUGACGCAGCCGGCCACAGCUUUACCUGGUCAGGGUGAUCCUGGAUCUUCCUGGAGGCCUUGCUCUACAGGAAAUCCCUUUGGGUACCUCUCCUGCCUAAGACAGCUUCACUCAAGGUAUCCUCAGCCCCUUCCAGCAUGUUCAUCCAUGACUCACCUCUGGAAGCCUCUUCCUGCCCUUCUCCCUACCAGGCGAGGAAAAGAGUCAGGGUUAGAGAAGGAAUAAAGAGGGAAGUUUCUUGAGAAGUAAAAGGUUUGAUGGGCAAGACCCAUGCCUCCCUUCUUAGGCCCCACCCCCUCCCAGCUUUGGAGCCUCAGAGCUGGUUUGUCUCCAUGCCAAAUUCUUGGGCGCCUUCCAGCCAGCCCAGAGGUGGGGACAAUCUAACUGUUUCAACCAGAUAAUUUCCCCUACAAGAUAGAGGUCUACAACCCCCUCUCCACCCGGUGGGGUCUCAAGUAGCCAGAGGUGGACUCUCCAGAAAGAUGACAUUACAGAAGAUCUUUUCCUUUGUACCAUUUAUAUGCUUCUGUGUUGUUUGACUCUUUCAUGAAGAGUAUGUGUUGAUUUUAUAUUUAGCCUAAAUUGGAGACAUAUUUUCAGUUUGUAAAAAUAAAGGCCAUCUUACUCUACUGGUCAUCACUCUCCCUCCUCCUGCUUCCACCCUGGGGCUGCUGUCCCUCUGUCACCUGUCCAGGACUAGAAUCCAGAAAUCACCUAAGAUUUCCCUCUGCUUGAGUCCCUCUCACAAUUUGUCCCAGUGCGUAUCCAUUCCUGCUGGCACGUAUAUGUAUAGAGAAUUUUCUCCCGAUUAUUGUUGUCUUUCCAGUUCCCAAACAUGCACCCCCUGAGGUCAUUGCAAUCAUGCACUAGACAUUGAGCUAGUCCCUAAUAGGAGAGGGCUUGCCUCCUCUGUAGCUGGUCAUUCCCUCUCCCCUGGAGUGCUUAUAUCCUGACUCCUGAGGCCUCCUCUCCUCC